This 530-nucleotide ribosomal RNA is filed under the name uncultured bacterium. RNAcentral's name for it is "bacterial SSU rRNA". It matches the Rfam family "Bacterial small subunit ribosomal RNA", at positions 8 to 526 of the family's 1533-position model. The record is from RNAcentral.
AGAGUUUGAUCAUGGCUCAGAUUGAACGCUGGCGGCAGGCCUAACACAUGCAAGUCGGGCGGUAACAGGGAGAAGCUUGCUUCUCUGCUGACGAGCGGCGGACGGGUGAGUAAUGUAUGGGGAUCUGCCUGAUGGAGGGGGAUAACUACUGGAAACGGUAGCUAAUACCGCAUAAUGUCUCCGGACCAAAGCGGGGGACCUUCGGGCCUCGCACCAUCAGAUGAACCCAUAUGGGAUUAGCUAGUAGGUAAGGUAACGGCUUACCUAGGCGACGAUCCCUAGCUGGUCUGAGAGGAUGAUCAGCCACACUGGAACUGAGACACGGUCCAGACUCCUACGGGAGGCAGCAGUGGGGAAUAUUGCACAAUGGGGGAAACCCUGAUGCAGCCAUGCCGCGUGUGUGAAGAAGGCCUUCGGGUUGUAAAGCACUUUAAGCGAGGAGGAGGCUCUUUUGGUUAAUACCCAAGAUGAGUGGACGUUACUCGCAGAAUAAGCACCGGCUAACUCUGUGCCAGCCGCCGCGGUAAUUC